Molecule: ribosomal RNA, 465 nt
Filed under: uncultured bacterium
Lineage: Bacteria
Description: partial 16S ribosomal RNA
Rfam family: Bacterial small subunit ribosomal RNA
Source: RNAcentral
GACGAACGCUGGCGGCGUGCUUAACACAUGCAAGUCGAACGGAAAGGCCCUGCUUGCAGGGUACUCGAGUGGCGAACGGGUGAGUAACACGUGGGUGAUCUGCCCUGCACUUCGGGAUAAGCCUGGGAAACUGGGUCUAAUACCGGAUAGGAGCCAUUUUUAGUGUGAUGGUUGGAAAGUUUUUUCGGUGUAGGAUGAGCUCGCGGCCUAUCAGCUUGUUGGUGGGGUAAUGGCCUACCAAGGCGGCGACGGGUAGCCGGCCGGAGAGGGUGGACGGCCACAUUGGGACUGAGAUACGGCCCAGACUCCUACGGGAGGCAGCAGUGGGGAAUAUUGCACAAUGGGCGCAAGCCUGAUGCAGCGACGCCGCGUGGGGGAUGACGGCCUUCGGGUUGUAAACUCCUUUCGCUAGGGACGAAGCUUUUUGUGACGGUACCUAGAAAAGAAGCACCGGCUAACUACGUG